UUCCAAUUUCAUAUUGUCCUAGUUACAGGGGCUGGGACCAGUUUAUCACUAUGUGGGUAUAACCAAAACCUUAUUCUACACCCUCUAUGUCAUUUCUGAUGGACUGUUAAUAAAUAGAUUGUUUGCAGCAGCUGC
Long non-coding RNA from Neopelma chrysocephalum (saffron-crested tyrant-manakin), 135 nucleotides. RefSeq lists it as uncharacterized. NCBI's taxonomy places the organism in Eukaryota, Metazoa, Chordata, Aves, Passeriformes, Pipridae. The record is from RefSeq and is a predicted model, not a curated record. The transcript has 3 exons.